This 433-nucleotide ribosomal RNA is filed under the name uncultured bacterium. RNAcentral's name for it is "partial 16S ribosomal RNA". It matches the Rfam family "Bacterial small subunit ribosomal RNA", at positions 29 to 507 of the family's 1533-position model. The record is from RNAcentral.
AACGAACGCUGGCGGCAUGCCUAACACAUGCAAGUCGAACGAGACCUUCGGGUCUAGUGGCGCACGGGUGCGUAACGCGUGGGAACCUGCCCUUAGGUUCGGAAUAACUCCCCGAAAGGGGUGCUAAUACCGGAUAAUGUCUUCGGACCAAAGAUUUAUCGCCUUUGGAUGGGCCCGCGUUGGAUUAGCUAGUUGGUAGGGUAAAAGCCUACCAAGGCGACGAUCCAUAGCUGGUCUGAGAGGAUGAUCAGCCACACUGGGACUGAGACACGGCCCAGACUCCUACGGGAGGCAGCAGUGGGGAAUAUUGGACAAUGGGCGAAAGCCUGAUCCAGCAAUGCCGCGUGAGUGAUGAAGGCCAUAGGGUUGUAAAGCUCUUUUACCCGGGAUGAUAAUGACAGUACCGGGAGAAUAAGCUCCGGCUAACUCCGUG